UAAGCGACUAAGCGUACACGGUGGAUGCCUAGGCAGUCAGAGGCGAUGAAGGGCGUGCUAAUCUGCGAAAAGCGUCGGUAAGCUGAUAUGAAGCGUAAUAACCGACGAUACCCGAAUGGGGAAACCCAGUGCAAUUCGUUGCACUAUUGCAUGGUGAAUACAUAGCCAUGCAAGGCGAACCGGGGGAACUGAAACAUCUAAGUACCCCGAGGAAAAGAAAUCAACCGAGAUUCCCCCAGUAGCGGCGAGCGAACGGGGAAGAGCCCAGAGUCUGAAUCAGUUUGUGUGUUAGUGGAAGCGUCUGGAAAGUCGCACGGUACAGGGUGAUAGUCCCGUACACAAAAACACACUGGCUGUGAACUCGAUGAGUAGGGCGGGACACGUGACAUCCUGUCUGAAUAUGGGGGGACCAUCCUCCAAGGCUAAAUACUCCUGACUGACCGAUAGUGAACCAGUACCGUGAGGGAAAGGCGAAAAGAACCCCGGCGAGGGGAGUGAAAUAGAACCUGAAACCGUGUACGUACAAGCAGUGGGAGCCCCACCACCAAAGCAUUCUCUGGUGUUAAAGGCCAUGCUGAAGCUCAAUCACGCGUUGGCGGAGCGUCCUUUGCGACGCCCAACACAAAAAACAAGCGGUGAGUGCUUUGGGGUGGGGUGACUGCGUACCUUUUGUAUAAUGGGUCAGCGACUUAUAUUUUGUAGCAAGGUUAACCGAAUAGGGGAGCCGUAGGGAAACCGAGUCUUAACUGGGCGUCUAGUUGCAAGGUAUAGACCCGAAACCCGGUGAUCUAGCCAUGGGCAGGUUGAAGGUUGGGUAACACUAACUGGAGGACCGAACCGACUAAUGUUGAAAAAUUAGCGGAUGACUUGUGGCUGGGGGUGAAAGGCCAAUCAAACCGGGAGAUAGCUGGUUCUCCCCGAAAGCUAUUUAGGUAGCGCCUCGUGAACUCAUCUUCGGGGGUAGAGCACUGUUUCGGCUAGGGGUCCAUCCCGGAUUACCAAACCGAUGCAAACUCCGAAUACCGAAGAAUGUUAUCACGGGAGACACACGGCGGGUGCUAACGUCCGUCGUGAAGAGGGAAACAACCCAGACCGCCAGCUAAGGUCCCAAAGUCAUGGUUAAGUGGGAAACGAUGUGGGAAGGCAUAGACAGCCAGGAUGUUGGCUUAGAAGCAGCCAUCAUUUAAAGAAAGCGUAAUAGCUCACUGGUCGAGUCGGCCUGCGCGGAAGAUGUAACGGGGCUAAACCAUGCACCGAAGCUGCGGCAGCGACGCUUAGGCGUUGUUGGGUAGGGGAGCGUUCUGUAAGCCGUUGAAGGUGGCCUGUGAGGGCUGCUGGAGGUAUCAGAAGUGCGAAUGCUGACAUAAGUAACGAUAAUGCGGGUGAAAAACCCGCACGCCGGAAGACCAAGGGUUCCUGUCCAACGUUAAUCGGGGCAGGGUGAGUCGACCCCUAAGGCGAGGCUGAAAAGCGUAGUCGAUGGGAAACAGGUUAAUAUUCCUGUACUGGGUGUGACUGCGAAGGGGGGACGGAGAAGGCUAGGCUAGCCGGGCGACGGUUGUCCCGGUUUAAGCAUGUAGGCGGAGUGACUUGGUAAAUCCGGUUGCUUAUCAACGCUGAGGUGUGAUGACGAGCCACUACGGUGGUGAAGUAGUUGAUGCCAAGCUUCCAGGAAAAGCCUCUAAGCAUCAGGUGACAUUCAAUCGUACCCCAAACCGACACAGGUGGUCAGGUAGAGAAUACUCAGGCGCUUGAGAGAACUCGGGUGAAGGAACUAGGCAAAAUGGUGCCGUAACUUCGGGAGAAGGCACGCUGGCAUUAGGUAAAGAGACUUGCUCUCGGCGCCGAAGCCAGUCGCAGAUACCAGCUGGCUGCAACUGUUUAAUAAAAACACAGCACUGUGCAAACACGAAAGUGGACGUAUACGGUGUGACGCCUGCCCGGUGCUGGAAGGUUAAUUGAUGGGGUCAGCCGCAAGGCGAAGCUCUUGAUCGAAGCCCCAGUAAACGGCGGCCGUAACUAUAACGGUCCUAAGGUAGCGAAAUUCCUUGUCGGGUAAGUUCCGACCUGCACGAAUGGCGUAAUGAUGGCCAGGCUGUCUCCACCCGAGACUCAGUGAAAUUGAACUCGCUGUGAAGAUGCAGUGUACCCGCGGCAAGACGGAAAGACCCCGUGAACCUUUACUAUAGCUUGACACUGAAUAUUGAGCCUUGAUGUGUAGGAUAGGUGGGAGGCAUCGAAGCGUGGACGCCAGUCUGCGUGGAGCCAACCUUGAAAUACCACCCUUUAAUGUUUGAUGUUCUAACUCGGCCCCAUAAUCUGGGGUGAGGACAGUGUCUGGUGGGUAGUUUGACUGGGGCGGUCUCCUCCCAAAGAGUAACGGAGGAGCACGAAGGUUAGCUAAUCACGGUCGGACAUCGUGAGGUUAGUGCAAAGGCAUAAGCUAGCUUGACUGCGAGAGUGACGGCUCGAGCAGGUACGAAAGUAGGUCUUAGUGAUCCGGUGGUUCUGAAUGGAAGGGCCAUCGCUCAACGGAUAAAAGGUACUCCGGGGAUAACAGGCUGAUACCGCCCAAGAGUUCAUAUCGACGGCGGUGUUUGGCACCUCGAUGUCGGCUCAUCACAUCCUGGGGCUGAAGUAGGUCCCAAGGGUAUGGCUGUUCGCCAUUUAAAGUGGUACGCGAGCUGGGUUUAGAACGUCGUGAGACAGUUCGGUCCCUAUCUGCCGUGGGCGUUGGAAGAUUGAGAGGGGCUGCUCCUAGUACGAGAGGACCGGAGUGGACGCAUCACUGGUGUUCGGGUUGUCAUGCCAAUGGCAUUGCCCGGUAGCUAAAUGCGGAAAAGAUAAGCGCUGAAAGCAUCUAAGCGCGAAACUUGCCUCGAGAUGAGUCUUCCCUGGGGCUUUAAGCCCCCUGAAGGAACGUUAAAGACUAUGACGUUGAUAGGCUGGGUGUGUAAGUGCAGCGAUGCAUUGAGCUAACCAGUACUAAUGAUCCGUGAGGCUUAACCU
RNAcentral lists this ribosomal RNA (3009 nucleotides) under Yersinia ruckeri. Its description in RNAcentral is "bacterial LSU rRNA". It matches the Rfam family "Bacterial large subunit ribosomal RNA". The record is from RNAcentral. Lineage: Bacteria; Pseudomonadati; Pseudomonadota; Gammaproteobacteria; Enterobacterales; Yersiniaceae.